AAUCCGGGUUGCGGACAGUGUCUGGUGGGUAGUUUGACUGGGGCGGUCUCCUCCUAAAGAGUAACGGAGGAGCACGAAGGUUGGCUAAUCCUGGUCGGACAUCAGGAGGUUAGUGCAAUGGCAUAAGCCAGCUUGACUGCGAGCGUGACGGCGCGAGCAGGUGCGAAAGCAGGUCAUAGUGAUCCGGUGGUUCUGAAUGGAAGGGCCAUCGCUCAACGGAUAAAAGGUACUCCGGGGAUAACAGGCUGAUACCGCCCAAGAGUUCAUAUCGACGGCGGUGUUUGGCACCUCGAUGUCGGCUCAUCACAUCCUGGGGCUGAAGUAGGUCCCAAGGGUAUGGCUGUUCGCCAUUUAAAGUGGUACGCGAGCUGGGUUUAGAACGUCGUGAGACAGUUCGGUCCCUAUCUGCCGUGGGCGAUGGAGAACUGAGGGGGGCUGCUCCUAGUACGAGAGGACCGGAGUGGACGCAUCACUGGUGUUCGGGUUGUCAUGCCAAUGGCACUGCCCGGUAGCUAAAUGCGGAAGAGAUAAGUGCUGAAAGCAUCUAAGCACGAAACUUGCCCCGAGAUGAGUUCUCCCUGAGACUUAGAGUCUCCUGAAGGAACGUUGAAGACGACGACGUUGAUAGGCCGGGUGUGUAAGCGCAGCGAUGCGUUGAGCUAACCGGUACUAAUGAACCGUGAGGCUUAACCUUACAACGCCGAAG
RNAcentral lists this ribosomal RNA (706 nucleotides) under Escherichia coli. Its description in RNAcentral is "partial 23S ribosomal RNA". It matches the Rfam family "Bacterial large subunit ribosomal RNA", at positions 2237 to 2925 of the family's 2925-position model. The record is from RNAcentral. Lineage: Bacteria; Pseudomonadati; Pseudomonadota; Gammaproteobacteria; Enterobacterales; Enterobacteriaceae.